This 468-nucleotide ribosomal RNA is filed under the name uncultured bacterium. Its description in RNAcentral is "partial 16S ribosomal RNA". It matches the Rfam family "Bacterial small subunit ribosomal RNA", at positions 28 to 507 of the family's 1533-position model. The record is from RNAcentral.
GACGAACGCUGGCGGCGUGCUUAACACAUGCAAGUCGAACGGAAAGACCCUGCUUUUGUGGGGUGCUCGAGUGGCGAACGGGUGAGUAACACGUGAGUAACCUGCCCUUGACUUUGGGAUAACUUCAGGAAACUGGGGCUAAUACCGGAUAGGAGCUCCUGCUGCAUGGUGGGGGUUGGAAAGUUUCGGCGGUUGGGAAUGGACUCGCGGCUUAUCAGCUUGUUGGUGGGGUAGUGGCUUACCAAGGCUUUGACGGGUAGCCGGCCUGAGAGGGUGACCGGCCACAUUGGGACUGAGAUACGGCCCAGACUCCUACGGGAGGCAGCAGUGGGGAAUAUUGCACAAUGGGCGGAAGCCUGAUGCAGCAACGCCGCGUGCGGGAUGACGGCCUUCGGGUUGUAAACCGCUUUCGCCUGUGACGAAGCGUGAGUGACGGUAAUGGGUAAAGAAGCACCGGCUAACUACGUG